Molecule: ribosomal RNA, 742 nt
Filed under: uncultured bacterium
Lineage: Bacteria
Description: bacterial SSU rRNA
Rfam family: Bacterial small subunit ribosomal RNA
Source: RNAcentral
AGAGUUUGAUCCUGGCUCAGAGCGAACGCUGGCGGCAUGCUUAACACAUGCAAGUCGCACGGUCAGCAAUGGCAGUGGCGGACGGGUGAGUAACGCGUAGGAAUCUAUCUCUGGGUGGGGGACAACCGUGGGAAACUACGGCUAAUACCGCAUGAUACCUGAGGGUCAAAGGCGUAAGUCGCCUGGAGAGGAGCCUGCGUCUGAUUAGCUAGUUGGUGGGGUAAAGGCUUACCAAGGCGACGAUCAGUAGCUGGUCUGAGAGGAUGAUCAGCCACAUUGGGACUGAGACACGGCCCAAACUCCUACGGGAGGCAGCAGUGGGGAAUAUUGGACAAUGGGCGCAAGCCUGAUCCAGCAAUGCCGCGUGUGUGAAGAAGGUCUUCGGAUUGUAAAGCACUUUUGGCAGGGACGAUGAUGACGGUACCUGCAGAAUAAGCCCCGGCUAACUUCGUGCCAGCAGCCGCGGUAAUACGAAGGGGGCUAGCGUUGCUCGGAAUGACUGGGCGUAAAGGGCGCGUAGGCGGCUGCCACAGUCAGAAGUGAAAUUCCUGGGCUCAACCUGGGGACUGCUUUUGAUACGUGGUGGCUUGAGUGGGGAAGAGGGUUGCGGAAUUUCCAGUGUAGAGGUGAAAUUCGUAGAUAUUGGAAAGAACACCGGUGGCGAAGGCGGCAACCUGGUCCUUUACUGACGCUGAGGCGCGAAAGCGUGGGGAGCAAACAGGAUUAGAUACCCUAGUAGUCC